CCGCAGCCGUCGGGUCGCCGCGGCUUUCGCUUUGCUGCCGCGGCUGGGCUGCGUGAGGAGCGGGCUCGGCGGGCGGCUCUGCUGGCGUCCGGGUUGGGCAAUACCGAGGGGUGCUCCACGUGCAGCCUUCGCGGCCCAGGCUUCCCUGCCGUGGCGCCCGUGCUCCCGGGCUCCCUGGCUCGGCCCCUACGGCCCCGAUGCCGAGGCAUGGAUAGAGCGGUGCUGCGCGCGGCGAUGGGGGAGAAGAAGGAGGGCGGUGGCGGGGGCGCCGCGGCGGCCGCGGACGGGGCCUCAGGGGCCGCGGCCGGCCGGGCGCUGCAGCAGUGCGGGCAGCUUCAGAAGCUCAUCGACAUCUCCAUCGGCAGCCUGCGCGGGCUGCGCACCAAGUGCGCGGUGUCCAACGACCUCACCCAGCAGGAGAUCCGGACCCUGGAGGCGAGGCUGGUGCGGUAUAUCUGUAAGCAGCGGCAGUGCAAGCUUAGCGUGGCCCCUGGCGACAGAACCCCGGAGCUCAACAGUUACCCACGCUUCAGCGACUGGCUGGACACCUUCAACGUCAGGCCAGAGGUGACGCAGGAGAUCCUCCACAAGCUCAAGGGGGAUCAGCUGGAUGCCCUGCUGGAGAUGGACGAGGCCAAGGUGAAGGAGACACUGCAGCGCUGCGGUGCCAGCGCCGAGGAGUGUGGCCGCCUGCAGCAAGCCCUCACCUGCCUUCGGAAGGUGACAGGCCUGGGAGGGGAGCACAAAGAGGACUCUGGCUGGAGCUCUUCAGAUGCUCGUCGGGAAAGCAGCUCAGGGCCAUCUGUGGACACCCUGUCACCAGCCAGCCUGGCCUGGCCCCCAGGGAGCUCCCUGCUGGGCAGAGUGGGUGGUGGUGCCCAGGGCCCCCGCUCUGUCUCUGUGUCAGCUCUGCCUGCCUCGGACUCCCCGGCUCCCGGCCUCAGCGAGGGCUUCUCAGAUACCUGUAUCCCGCUGCACACCAGUGGCCGGCUGACCCCCCGAGCCCUGCACAGUUUCAUUACCCCUCCAGCCACACCUCAGCUGCGCCGCCACGCUAAGCUAAAGCCACCAAGGACACCCCCACCGCCCAGCCGCAAGGUCUUCCAGCUGCUGCCCAGCUUCCCCACGCUUACCCGGAGCAAGUCGCAUGAGUCGCAACUGGGAAACCGCAUCGACGAGGUCUCCUCGAUGAGAUUUGAUCUCUCUCGUGGAUCCCCACAGAUGGUACGAAGGGACAUUGGGCUCUCGGUGACACACAGGUUCUCUACCAAGUCCUGGCUGUCGCAGGUCUGCCAUGUGUGCCAGAAGAGCAUGAUGUUUGGAGUGAAGUGCAAGCACUGCAGGUUGAAAUGUCACAACAAGUGUACGAAGGAAGCCCCUGCCUGUAGAAUCUCCUUCCUUCCCAUAACUAGGCUGCGGAGGACAGAAUCUGUCCCCUCAGACAUCAACAACCCGGUGGACAGAGCCGCUGAACCCCAUUUCGGAACCCUCCCCAAAGCACUGACAAAGAAGGAGCACCCUCCGGUCAUGAACCACCUGGACUCCAGCAGCAACCCGUCCUCCACCACAUCCUCCACGCCCUCUUCGCCAGCGCCCUUCCCAGCAUCAUCCCACCCGUCCAGUGCCACCACACCCCCAAACCCCUCACCUGGUCAGCGGGACAGCAGGUUCAGUUUCCCAGCUGCCUACUUCAUUCAUCAUAGACAGCAGUUUAUCUUCCCAGACAUUUCAGCCUUUCCACAGGCAGCCCCGCUCCCUGAUGGCGCCGACAAUACCCGGCUUGACGACCAGCCAAAAGCUGAGGUGUUGGAGGCUCACGAGGUGGAGGCUGAGGAGCCAGAGGCUGGCAAGUCCGAGGCAGAAGAUGACGAGGAUGAGGUGGACGACUUGCCGAGCUCCCGCCGACCCUGGCGGGGCCCCAUCUCCCGCAAGACCAGCCAGACCAGCGUGUACCUGCAGGAGUGGGACAUCCCCUUUGAGCAGGUGGAACUGGGUGAGCUCAUUGGGCAGGGCCGCUGGGGCCGGGUGCACCGUGGCCGCUGGCAUGGCGAGGUGGCCAUUCGCCUGCUCGAGAUGGACGGCCACAACCAGGACCACCUGAAGCUGUUCAAGAAGGAGGUGAUGAACUACCGGCAGACACGGCACGAGAAUGUGGUGCUCUUCAUGGGCGCCUGUAUGAACCCUCCCCAUCUGGCCAUCAUCACCAGCUUCUGCAAGGGACGGACGUUGCACUCAUUUGUGAGGGACCCCAAGACGUCGCUGGACAUCAACAAGACGAGGCAGAUCGCUCAGGAGAUCAUCAAGGGCAUGGGCUACCUGCAUGCCAAGGGCAUCGUGCACAAAGAUCUCAAAUCCAAGAAUGUCUUUUACGACAAUGGCAAAGUGGUCAUCACAGACUUUGGGCUGUUUGGGAUCUCGGGUGUGGUCCGAGAGGAACGGCGUGAGAACCAGCUGAAGCUGUCCCAUGACUGGCUGUGCUACCUGGCCCCUGAGAUUGUGUGUGAGAUGACCCCUGGGAAGGAUGAGGACCAGCUGCCCUUCUCCAAAGCUGCAGAUGUCUAUGCAUUUGGGACUGUGUGGUAUGAGCUACAAGCAAGAGACUGGCCCUUUAAGCACCAGCCUGCAGAGGCCUUGAUCUGGCAGAUCGGAAGUGGGGAAGGAAUGAAGCGGGUCCUGGGCUCUGUCAGCCUGGGGAAGGAAGUCAGCGAGAUCCUGUCUGCCUGCUGGGCUUUCGAUCUGCAGGAGAGACCCAGCUUCAGCAUGCUGAUGGACAUGCUGGAGAAGCUGCCCAAGCUGAACCGGAGGCUCUCGCACCCUGGGCACUUCUGGAAGUCAGCUGAUCGCUGGCGGAGCCGCUAUUACGGGAAAGGACGUUAUGGUCACCCUGACUUUAAGAACUCCUGUCCGGUUCUGGAGGAAUAGGUCCCCUCUCUGGCCAGAGCUCAAAAGAAGAGAAUCGAGUGAGCUGAGAUGAUCAACUCCAAGAAGUCAGUAUUGACAGUUGUAGCCUGGCUGCUCUGCAUGCACCAGGAACUUUCUGCCUCCCAGCUGACAACUUGGCUCUGACUUCUACUAAAAUGCAAAGUGCCAAGUGGGCACUAACCCGGGGGAUGCCGUCUCUGCUGCUUCACUCUUCUCUCUCCAGACUUCCUGUGGUCUGGUUUUUUAAACCAGCCUCUUGCCCUCUCCACAUGGCCUGCGUGUGCCCCAGUAACUUCUGAUGGUGGAGGAUCGCACUAGCCAGGCCCCCCUGCAAUGCUGCACAGCUUCCAGCACCUCCCUGGAUGUGACUCUUCUUUCUGGCUCUUCUGAGGGAUGGGCUGGCCCAGUCUGCUGCUAACACCUUAAUAAGCUUCCUGCUGACCAUGUUCUGAGAACGGGGGCGGGGUGCUUGGCUUCUAACACCUCUAACCCAUGGGGACUUUGUCCUGCAAGGAGUGGAAUGGUUGCCGAGCUGCCUCAAGGCCAGCUCCAUGGUCCCAGGAGCCCUCUCUGGGUUCCUGUGUCUGUCUUCUCUGUAGAUGUGGGUAGUAGACACAGAAGGUCCUGUUGCCGUGAAAGACACCAGCUGAGAAGGGCUGUGUCCUCAGUGGCACAGAACAUUCGACCUCAUUCAAAGAGGUUCCUAUUCCCAAGCUUCAGUAAUGGAAACUCAGCUGCUGCCCCAAGCCUGCCCCUGCCAUGUUACUCCCUUUGCACCCGCCCUGGCUUUGUAGACUGUCAGGUCAGUAUUCAGCAUUUGUGAGCUGACAGGUCACUGCUUCUGAGUGCCCUCCCUCCAAAUUUACUGACCCCAGAUCUCUGGAAUCUGGCUUGGAAGUCACACCUCAGCCCAUCCCAGAGAACCUCCUGAUGGAGCCAAUGCUUGAGCACUUUUUUUUUUUUUUUUUUGAGGUACUGGGGAUUGAACCCAGGGGCACGCUACUACUGAACUACAUCCCCAGCCAUUUUAAUUUUUUGCUUUGAGACAGAGUUUCACUGAAUUGCUCACCCUGGCCUCAGAUUUGUGAUCCUCCUGCCUCAGCAUCUUGAGCCUCUGGAAUUACAGGUGUGCACCAGCUGAGCACCAUUUCUAAAAGGAGCAUACACCGUUACUCCUGGUGGGUGUUGGGGCUCAGGUUUUUCUUCCCCCUAGUACCGCACAGAGCAAGGACGUUCCAAGGCUGCCAGUAUGGGAACGGUUCCCACGAGCCCACAGCAGCUAGCAGUACACCCUAGGUCCUGGGAGUCAGAGGUGAAUGAGCCAUGUCACUGUCCCCCAGGAGUGGGGAGUGUGGCCAAGGCCGAGGACGCUGCCAAGAGUAGAUCUGCCGAGGCUGUGGACUGAGCAAUCAUUGUCACUUCUUGGUUUGGGCCAGGUCCCUUCGACUCUGAUCAAGAUCAACAGACCCAUAACCCCACAUUUUGUUCCUCUUCACAGCAUUAACAGCAGCAAAGUUGUACCCCGCUUUGAGAGGUUCGGCCUCGGUGCCCUGGAGUCCAGUAACCCAAAGAUGUAGCCAGCUGUGCAUUUUUUCUGCGGCCUGUCUCUUUUUAAAAUGUGUUUUUAAAACACACAAACAACCGUCACAGCAACAACAAAAAUGAAAAACCACUCCACCUGUCCAACGCUACAAACCAGGAGGGUGAGUCUUCCAUUCCGAUUGUUCAUCGCAAAGACACAUGGGUCCUGAAGAUGGAACUGUACCCGACAGCAAAUGUUUACACAUAUGUUUCUGCCAAGCGAAUUUGGUGUUUUACAAUAGGUAAUAAUAUGGUCCGUGCAUGAGGGCACAGGCACCUGGGGAUGGAAGAAGUGUCUGUCCCCUUGAAGGAUCUUAUAGCACUGAGGAGCCCAGUGCUUGGUCAGAAGGAAGAAAGACGUUGUGGUUUAAGGGUAAGGCAGGAAGAGGUGGGAGCACAAGGUUUGACUGGGCCCCUGUUUUGAUCCUAAUCCCCACCGGUGGUACACUGUCCCUUCCCUGUCUUGCAGAGAAAACCCUGCCUAGGAACUGAGGCAAAUUACAGGGGACAAGAAGUCCCGGAGACCUUGGCUUUACCUACCAACCCCACUAAUCCAGACUGUUCCCACUGGAAAAGUAGAGACAGAAUGCAAGUAAUAUCUGGACAGAUCUGGUGGUUCCUAGCCAGGGUUUCUGUUGCCAGGUGAGGAGACAUCCUUGAGCUAGUGUUUCUUGUGUGAAGCCCCGCGUCAGACCCUGGGAGCCAGGGCCUUUGCCUGACAUCUGACCCUACAGCUGGGGGCACAAUAGGCCUUAAUGAGGGAGAACAGGGAAAAGGGUGGAGGGAGAAAGGGAGAAAUGGACAGCAAGUACCUGAGCCCCUGUCCUGGCCGCAGGGUAACCCUGGCACUUUAGAAACCCAUUGUCAGUCAUGGUAGACUGUUCUAGAACUCCCCACAUCUUCCACUUCCCUGCCCUAGUGAAACCCUUUUGCCCCUUCCUGAUUCCUUAGUUCAGGCUCUAAGCUCAGCUGGAAGCAUGAGACUGUCCCACCUUGUCACCCCACCUCCUGAGCCCUAUCUGCAGAGCCCUUCCCAGCAGUGUCAGGCCUUCUGCUUGUGUCACAUGAGUAGGAGGGGCUGGAUCCAGAGAGUCUUUGAUGUGAGAGCAUCCACCUGACGCCGCCAGUAACCGUCAUCUACAGAGGAAGUUCCCAAUGGCAAAGAAGCCCACCAGUGGAGGUUAGGCUGCAGGAGACUCCACAACCAGAAAGGAAGUAGACAUGCUUGGAUCCAGGCCCUGUGCUCUGAGCUCAGAUGGGGGUGGCCGUGUGGCUGCUCCCCUUCAGUGAGAUCCACCUGGCAGAGCCCCAGUCUUCAGAGCCUUUCCUAGCAUCAGAGUCCGAUCCACAUAAGUCACAUAAAAUGAGCCACUCUGAUAAGAAGUGGUGGAGCUGCCUCUCUGCUCUCCAUGCUGAGCAGCCUUGCUCCGCACUCCCCCCACUACCCUGGUGAGCGUGGCCCACCCUUGGGUCAGGGGCUUUGAAAUCUUUCCAGUCAGCAUGGGGAGAAGAAAGAGGAGCUAUAAACCAUUUGGGUUCAGCUCUGUGAGGGUGACUUCUGUUCUAUGACAGGACUGUCAUUUUACCCCCAUGAUCCCUUUGGUCUCCCACGUCACCUCCCCAGAGUGACCUCCCCAACCCAGAGCCCUGCGAUACGUGGCCAUUGCCUCUGUAGGUAUCGAAUCCCUGCCCCUUUGUAGAGGUGGUAGCAGGGCCUGGGAUUUGGCUCAGUGGUGCCACUGCCUGCCUCACAAGCGCAAGGUCCCGAGUUCAAUCCCUGUUACCGCCCCCCGAAAUGUGCAUAGAGGUGACAGCACAUGUGACUCCAGCCUUUCACCUUCUUGUUGUGACACUGGCCUUCCCUGUCAGAUGGAUGCACCUGAACAAAUCGGGCUCACCUCCCCACCCUCAGAUCCAGGCCACAGUGGGUGAUGCACAGCCCACAGAAAGUCAGUCUGGGUUUGGCUGUGUCCCCUUAGGGCCACAGUUCAGAAAGUCCCCACUGAUCCCCUGCUGUGUACAUGGUCUUGUACAAGUGGUGGGGCCCCAGGUACAGGAAUGAUGACAUUUCCGCCUUAGGAAAUGAUUUGCUGAGGGCCUGAACUGGGCCAGGAACCAGGAGCCACUUGACUCCAAGUGUGGGGCUGAGUUACUGGGGCCCCUCCCCUGUCCUCUCCAAGGCCUGGCUUUCAGCUGGCCACUUCUGCACUGGCUGGCAUUUAAGAAGAUCCCCCACAGUACUUCCCCUUCUCCUGUUUCUAUUUAAGUGACUGUGAAUUGAGGUUAGGAAGAUGUGUUUGCCCUUCUGUGUGCUCUGCCUGUCUGCCUUGGAGACACAUGAAGGAUGACAGAUACUGUGAAUUCAGCUUUCACGGCCCACUGUGAAGGGGAGGGAGAAGGUCAGGGGCUGCAGAGGUCCCGCCUGGGCUCUGAGACUAUAGUCCGCGCUUUGGCCCUUGCACGUACCUGUAGUUCUCAACCUCACCCCAAGGCCUUUAACCACCAGGGCUGCAGCUCCCAGGCUUCUGUGUGACUCGAAGGCGUGAAUCCUAGCUAGCGCUGGGUUCAUUGUGAGCAGUGUAUUAGCAAAAUUGACCUGUCUGUGUCACCAAAUCAAAACACCCUCUGCCAUCUGGCAUUUCUUCAUGUGGUCUCAGCAGGGUGUGGCAGGCCCUGUGAGCCUGUGUUGUGCUAUAGUGACUUGGGGGUGACACCAAGGGAGGCUCCUGCCAUGCUGCAGCAUUGGCCAGGCUGUCACCUGUGUGUACACACCUACCGUCUUCUGUGGCCACGAGGCACACAUUUUGCUGUUUUUGAAUGUGAUGUAAACUUUGUACAGUAAAAGUUUUUAUAUUUUCUAUCAAUUGCAUUUGUCUUCCUCAAAUGGUAUUAAUUUAAAUUAAAAAGGUUAGUAUUAACAAACA
Molecule: non-coding RNA, 7427 nt
Organism: Heterocephalus glaber (naked mole-rat)
Lineage: Eukaryota; Metazoa; Chordata; Mammalia; Rodentia; Bathyergidae
Source: RefSeq, a predicted model, not a curated record